UGCCGGAGGAAGGUAGAAUUCCCGGUGUAGCGGUGAAAUGCGUAGAGAUCGGGAGGAAUACCAGUGGCGAAGGCGGCCUUCUGGACUGACACGACGCUGAGGUGCGAAAGCGUGGGUAGCAAACAGGAUUAGAUACCCUGGUAGUCCACGCCUAAACAAUGUCAGACUAGCCGUUGGGUCCCUUGAGGACUUAGUGGCCCAGUUAACGCGAUAAGUCGACCGCCUGGGGAGUACGGCCGCAAGGUUAAAACUCAAAUAAUUGACGGGGGCCCGCACAAGCGGUGGAGCAUGUGGUUUAAUUCGAUGCAACGCGAAGAACCUUACCUACCCUUGACAUCCUGCGAACCCGGAAGAGAUUCCGGGGUGCCUUCGGGAGGCGCAGAGACAGGUGCUGCAUGGCUGUCGUCAGCUCGUGUUGUGAAAUGUUGGGUUAAGUCCCGUAACGAGCGCAACCCUUGUCCCUAUUUGCCAGCGAUUCGGUCGGGAACUCUAGGGAGACUGCCGGUGACAAACCGGAGGAAGGUGGGGACGACGUCAAGUCAUCAUGGCCCUUACGGGUAGGGCUACACACGUGCUACAAUGGCCGGUACAAAGGGUUGCGAAGCCGCGAGGUGAAGCCAAUCCCAGAAAGCCGGCCUCAGUCCGGAUUGGAGUCUGCAACUCGACUCCAUGAAGUCGGAAUCGCUAGUAAUCGUGCAUCAGAAUGGCACGGUGAAUACGUUCCCGGGCCUUGUACACACCGCCCGUCACACCAUGGGAGUGGACUGCACCAGAAGUGGUUAGCCUAACUUCGGAGGGCGAUCACCCUCGUCGCCACUUUCCCCAUUUGAAAAACAGCUAUAAUUCC
Molecule: ribosomal RNA, 847 nt
Filed under: Chromohalobacter israelensis
Lineage: Bacteria; Pseudomonadati; Pseudomonadota; Gammaproteobacteria; Oceanospirillales; Halomonadaceae
Description: bacterial SSU rRNA
Rfam family: Bacterial small subunit ribosomal RNA
Source: RNAcentral